GGAUGUCGCCAAGCGGUAAGGCACAGGACUUUGACUCCUGCACGCGUAGGUUCGAAUCCUGCCAUCCC
Molecule: transfer RNA, 68 nt
Filed under: human gut metagenome
Rfam family: tRNA
About the family: Transfer RNA (tRNA) molecules are approximately 80 nucleotides in length.
Source: RNAcentral